CGUUCGAGCACUUAUACAGUCCUUAUGUUCAUUUUGAAGACCUGGCAACCAGAAUAUCAACAGAGUCCUGAUAAAUGAAAGCUUCGAGGAAUACAGGGCUUUCAUACCAGUGUGAAUAUCUCCGUAAUGUCUGCCCUGAUUUUGGUGAUGGAACAGCUUGUGUCCUGCUUGUCCAAUGGAAGAUGAUUAUCCAGUGAUAAUUUCAAUGGAUGGUAACUUUGGGCUUGUGCGGAAAAAGUCGUCUGGUGUCAGUUUUUCCGAGCCGAAGCAUGCAGGUCACUUCUUUUCUAAUCAGAGUGAGGUUGAUGAGUUUGUUCAAAAACAUAACAGAAGCAUGAAGAAAGCUGGCGACGCUUGCAGCAAUUUCAAGGGUGGAAAUACUUUGAGGACAAAUAGUCGAUACGAAAAAUUAGAUGAGACAGCAGUUUUUGGCUCGGCAUGUCGUCAUGAAGUGCCCGUCAUUAUGUUUAGCCUAAAACAUGGAGAGAGGUUCUGGUAGUCUUUUAGAUAGGUUGAAGCUGGCAAUUCCAAUAUUUCACUG
Lineus longissimus is the source of this 541-nucleotide long non-coding RNA. RefSeq lists it as uncharacterized. Lineage: Eukaryota; Metazoa; Nemertea; Pilidiophora; Heteronemertea; Lineidae. The record is from RefSeq and is a predicted model, not a curated record. The transcript has 5 exons.